GUGCUCGCUUCGGCAGCGCAUAUACUGAAAUUGGAACGAUACAGAGAAGAUUACCAUAGCCCCUGCUAAAAAAUCACACGCAAAUUUGUGAAGUGUUCCAUAGUUAA
This is a small nuclear RNA of Pipistrellus kuhlii (Kuhl's pipistrelle), 107 nucleotides long. Lineage: Eukaryota; Metazoa; Chordata; Mammalia; Chiroptera; Vespertilionidae. The record is from RefSeq and is a predicted model, not a curated record.